This 242-nucleotide unclassified non-coding RNA is filed under the name Hevea brasiliensis (rubber tree). The record is from RNAcentral. Lineage: Eukaryota; Viridiplantae; Streptophyta; Magnoliopsida; Malpighiales; Euphorbiaceae.
UUUGGUCUAUCAUGAUUCAAGACACAGAUAUGUGAGUAUUAUGCUUUUUACAUAUGGACAUGUUUGUGUCUUAAGUUUAGAUAAAAAUUUUUCAUAUUUUUGGUCCAAUCCUUAACCUGAGGGAGCAGUAUCUAUUAUGGAGUUCCAGUGAAGGCACAAGUUAUCUUGAUGAACCUGAAGCAGUUAGCUCUUCCAGAGAAUCUAAGUUUUAUGAAAUUUUUCAUAAAUUUGCUGUGUGACCC